AAAGGAAUAGACGGGGGCCCGCACAAGCGGAGGAACAUGUGGUUUAAUUCGAUGAUACGCGAGGAACCUUACCCGGGCUCGAACGGCUAUUGCAUAAUGAUGAAAGUCAUUCGUCGCAAGACAGUAGUCGAGGUGCUGCAUGGUUGUCGUCAGCUCGUGCCGUGAGGUGUCGGCUUAAGUGCCAUAACGAGCGCAACCCUUAUUUUCAGUUACCAUCAGGUAGAGCUGGGGACUCUGGAAAGACUGCCACCGUAAGGUGUGAGGAAGGUGGGGAUGACGUCAAAUCAGCACGGCCCUUACGUCCGGGGCUACACACGUGUUACAAUGGGAGGGACAGAAGGCAGCUACCCCGCGAGGGGAUGCGAAUCCAUUAAACCCUCUCCCAGUUCGGAUCGAAGUCUGCAACCCGACUUCGUGAAGCCGGAUUCGCUAGUAAUCGCGCAUCAGCCAUGGCGCGGUGAAUACGUUCCCGGGCCUUGUACACACCGCCCGU
Molecule: ribosomal RNA, 493 nt
Filed under: uncultured bacterium
Lineage: Bacteria
Description: bacterial SSU rRNA
Rfam family: Bacterial small subunit ribosomal RNA
Source: RNAcentral